RNAcentral lists this ribosomal RNA (419 nucleotides) under uncultured microorganism. RNAcentral describes it as "bacterial SSU rRNA". It matches the Rfam family "Bacterial small subunit ribosomal RNA", at positions 10 to 425 of the family's 1533-position model. The record is from RNAcentral.
AGUUUGAUCCUGGCUCAGAGUGAACGCUGGCGGUAGGCCUAACACAUGCAAGUCGAACGGCAGCACAGUAAGAGCUUGCUCUUACGGGUGGCGAGUGGCGGACGGGUGAGGAAUACAUCGGAAUCUACUUUUUCGUGGGGGAUAACGUAGGGAAACUUACGCUAAUACCGCAUACGACCUACGGGUGAAAGCAGGGGAUCUUCGGACCUUGCGCGAUUGAAUGAGCCGAUGUCGGAUUAGCUAGUUGGCGGGGUAAAGGCCACCAAGGCGACGAUCCGUAGCUGGUCUGAGAGGAUGAUCAGCCACACUGGAACUGAGACACGGUCCAGACUCCUACGGGAGGCAGCAGUGGGGAAUAUUGGACAAUGGGCGCAAGCCUGAUCCAGCCAUACCGCGUGGGUGAAGAAGGCCUUCGGUUG